Molecule: ribosomal RNA, 490 nt
Filed under: uncultured bacterium
Lineage: Bacteria
Description: partial 16S ribosomal RNA
Rfam family: Bacterial small subunit ribosomal RNA
Source: RNAcentral
AUUGAACGCUGGCGGCAGGCCUAACACAUGCAAGUCGAACGGUAACAGGAAGCGGCUUGCUGCUUCGCUGACGAGUGGCGGACGGGUGAGUAAUGUCUGGGAAACUGCCUGAUGGAGGGGGAUAACUACUGGAAACGGUAGCUAAUACCGCAUAACGUCGCAAGACCAAAGAGGGGGACCUUAGGGCCUCUUGCCAUCGGAUGUGCCCAGAUGGGAUUAGCUAGUAGGUGGGGUAACGGCUCACCUAGGCGACGAUCCCUAGCUGGUCUGAGAGGAUGACCAGCCACACUGGAACUGAGACACGGUCCAGACUCCUACGGGAGGCAGCAGUGGGGAAUAUUGCACAAUGGGCGCAAGCCUGAUGCAGCCAUGCCGCGUGUAUGAAGAAGGCCUUCGGGUUGUAAAGUACUUUCAGCGGGGAGGAAGGGAGUAAAGUUAAUACCUUUGCUCAUUGACGUUACCCGCAGAAGAAGCACCGGCUAACUCCGUG